RNAcentral lists this ribosomal RNA (581 nucleotides) under uncultured bacterium. RNAcentral's name for it is "partial 16S ribosomal RNA". It matches the Rfam family "Bacterial small subunit ribosomal RNA", at positions 355 to 932 of the family's 1533-position model. The record is from RNAcentral.
UGGGGAAUUUUGGACAAUGGGCGAAAGCCUGAUCCAGCAAUGCCGCGUGUGUGAAGAAGGCCUUCGGGUUGUAAAGCACUUUUGUCCGGAAAGAAAUCCUUGGCUCUAAUACAGUCGGGGGAUGACGGUACCGGAAGAAUAAGCACCGGCUAACUACGUGCCAGCAGCCGCGGUAAUACGUAGGGUGCAAGCGUUAAUCGGAAUUACUGGGCGUAAAGCGUGCGCAGGCGGUUUGCUAAGACCGAUGUGAAAUCCCCGGGCUCAACCUGGGAACUGCAUUGGUGACUGGCAGGCUAGAGUAUGGCAGAGGGGGGUAGAAUUCCACGUGUAGCAGUGAAAUGCGUAGAGAUGUGGAGGAAUACCGAUGGCGAAGGCAGCCCCCUGGGCCAAUACUGACGCUCAUGCACGAAAGCGUGGGGAGCAAAACAGGAUUAGAUACCCUGGUAGUCCACGCCCUAAAACGAUGUCAACUAGUUGUUGGGGAUUCAUUUCCUUAGUAACGCAGCUAACGCGUGAAGUUGACCGCCUGGGGAGUACGGUCGCAAGAUUAAAACUCAAAGGAAUUGACGGGGUCAUAGCUG